CCUACGGGGGGCAGCAGUGAGGAAUAUUGGUCAAUGGGCGUAAGCCUGAACCCGCCAAGUCGCGUGCGGGAUGAAGGUUCUAUGGAUCGUAACCCUCUUUUAUAAGGGCAUAAAGUGUGGGACGUGUCCUAUUUUGUAUGUACCUUAUGACUAAGGAUCGGCUAACUCCGUGCCAGCAGCCGCGUUAAUCCGGAGGAUCCGAGCGUUAUCCGGAUUUAUUGGGUUUAAAGGGUGCGUAGGCGGCCUUUUAAGUCAGCGGUGAAAGUCUGUGGCUCAACCAUAGAAUUGCCGUUGAAAUUGGGGGGCUUGAGAAUGUUUGAGGCAGGCGGAAUGCGUGGUGUAGCGGUGAAAUGCUUAGAUAUCACGCAGAACACCGAUUGCGAAGGCAGCCUGCCAAGCCAUGACUGACGCUGAUGCACGAAAGCGUGGGGAUCAAACAGGAUUAGAUACCCCAGUAGUC
This 460-nucleotide ribosomal RNA is filed under the name uncultured bacterium. RNAcentral's name for it is "partial 16S ribosomal RNA". It matches the Rfam family "Bacterial small subunit ribosomal RNA", at positions 338 to 795 of the family's 1533-position model. The record is from RNAcentral.